GAAACCAGCUGGGGGAGCCCUAAGGGGCUGAGAGGCGCGAAGCGCUGACCCUUUGAACUUGAAUCGGAUCAUACCGGCGUAAGGAAGCGGGCUCUAUUUUGA
Dialister sp. CAG:486 is the source of this 102-nucleotide regulatory RNA element. It matches the Rfam family "TPP riboswitch aptamer (THI element)". Rfam says of the family: Vitamin B(1) in its active form thiamin pyrophosphate (TPP) is an essential coenzyme that is synthesised by coupling of pyrimidine and thiazole moieties in bacteria. The previously detected thiamin-regulatory element, thi box was extended, resulting in a new, highly conserved RNA secondary structure, the THI element, which is widely distributed in eubacteria and also occurs in some archaea. Lineage: Bacteria; Bacillati; Bacillota; Negativicutes; Veillonellales; Veillonellaceae. The record is from Rfam.